RNAcentral lists this long non-coding RNA (579 nucleotides) under Heterocephalus glaber (naked mole-rat). Its description in RNAcentral is "lncRNA (ENSHGLG00000045095.1)". Lineage: Eukaryota; Metazoa; Chordata; Mammalia; Rodentia; Bathyergidae. The record is from RNAcentral.
GGGGCUGCUAGGCUGCUACACUGGGUUUCUUCCUUCAUUUGGAUUUCAACUUUUACCAAGAUGGCAUGUUUCCCUAACCUGGUCUACAAGCAGUGGUGGGAUGGAAGAGUAGCCGUGCUUCUCGUACUGAACAACUUCCUUACUGGAUUUCAUUGGAAGUACUACUGUAUUUUAAGCUUCCUUGCAUUGGUUCGGGUUUUCUUUAGCACCUCUAUCCAGGUAUGAGAUCAGUGGUUUUGCUCUGCCACCUAUUCCUACCAUGAGGGCUCAACACAGGCCUAAAACAACAUGGAUCAAUUGACAAGAGACUAAAGCCUCCUAACUUUGAGUCAAAAGCAACCCUCUUGUCUUGAUAAGAUACAUAUGGAUUUACAUGAGGAAAAAAAUGUAUCUUUAAUAACUGAUGAUGGUAAAGUUUUUCACUCAUUCAAAUUACUGUCCAUAUGGAAAAACAAAUAAAGUCAUUAUGUCUAUGAUUAAAAGUGGAGCAAUGUAAUACCUCUGGGGCUAGAGUUCUAAGUGAAGACAAUUUUGACUCCUGGCAAUGUCUAGAGAUAUUUAUUGUAGUUUGGGGUAGGG